GACGAACCGUGCGAACGUUGUUCGGAAUCACUGGGCUUAAAGGGCGCGUAGGCGGGCUGUCAAGUCUGGGGUGAAAUGCCGCGGCUCAACCGUGGAACUGCCUUAGAUACUGACGGCCUCGAGGAAGGUAGGGGCAUGCGGAACUGUAGGUGGAGCGGUGAAAUGCGUUGAGAUCGGAAAGAACACCAACGGCGAAAGCACUCUGCUGGGCCGACACUGACACUGAGAGACGAAAGCUAGGGGAGCAAAUGGG
Molecule: ribosomal RNA, 253 nt
Filed under: uncultured bacterium
Lineage: Bacteria
Description: partial 16S ribosomal RNA
Rfam family: Bacterial small subunit ribosomal RNA
Source: RNAcentral